RNAcentral lists this ribosomal RNA (923 nucleotides) under uncultured bacterium. RNAcentral describes it as "bacterial SSU rRNA". It matches the Rfam family "Bacterial small subunit ribosomal RNA", at positions 1 to 915 of the family's 1533-position model. The record is from RNAcentral.
UCGCCCUUAGAGUUUGAUCCUGGCUCAGGAUGAACGCUAGCUACAGGCUUAACACAUGCAAGUCGAGGGGCAGCGGGAUUGAAGCUUGCUUCAAUUGCCGGCGACCGGCGCACGGGUGAGUAACGCGUAUCCAACCUUCCGUACACUCAGGGAUAGCCUUUCGAAAGAAAGAUUAAUACCUGAUGGUAUGAUGAGAUUGCAUGAUAGCAUCAUUAAAGAUUUAUCGGUGUACGAUGGGGAUGCGUUCCAUUAGGUAGUAGGCGGGGUAACGGCCCACCUAGCCAACGAUGGAUAGGGGUUCUGAGAGGAAGGUCCCCCACAUUGGAACUGAGACACGGUCCAAACUCCUACGGGAGGCAGCAGUGAGGAAUAUUGGUCAAUGGACGAGAGUCUGAACCAGCCUAGUAGCGUGAAGGAUGAAGGUCCUACGGAUUGUAAACUUCUUUUAUAAGGGAAUAAACCCUCCCACGUGUGGGAGCUUGUAUGUACCUUAUGAAUAAGCAUCGGCUAACUCCGUGCCAGCAGCCGCGGUAAUACGGAGGAUGCGAGCGUUAUCCGGAUUUAUUGGGUUUAAAGGGGGCGCAGACGGGUCGUUAAGUCAGCUGUGAAAGUUUGGGGCUCAACCUUAAAAUUGCAGUUGAUACUGGCGUCCUUGAGUGCGGUUGAGGUGUGCGGAAUUCGUGGUGUAGCGGUGAAAUGCUUAGAUAUCACGAAGAACUCCGAUUGCGAAGGCAGCACACUAAUCCGUAACUGACGUUCAUGCUCGAAAGUGUGGGUAUCAAACAGGAUUAGAUACCCUGGUAGUCCACACGGUAAACGAUGGAUACUCGCUGUUGGCGAUAUACUGUCAGCGGCUUAGCGAAAGCGUUAAGUAUCCCACCUGGGGAGUACGCCGGCAACGGUGAAACUCAAAUGAAUUGACG